UACGUAGGUGGCAAGCGUUGUCCGGAUUUAUUGGGCGUAAAGCGAGCGCAGGCGGUUCCUUAAGUCUGAUGUGAAAGCCCACGGCUCAACCGUGGAAGGUCAUUGGAAACUGGGGAACUUGAGUGCGGGAGAGGUUAUCGGAAUUCCCGGUGUAGCGGUGAAAUGCGUAGAUAUAUGGAGGAACACCAGUGGCGAAGGCGACUCUCUGGUCUGUAACUGACGCUGAGGCUCGAAAGCGUGGGGAGCAAACAGG
This 253-nucleotide ribosomal RNA is filed under the name uncultured bacterium. Its description in RNAcentral is "partial 16S ribosomal RNA". It matches the Rfam family "Bacterial small subunit ribosomal RNA", at positions 524 to 776 of the family's 1533-position model. The record is from RNAcentral.